Molecule: ribosomal RNA, 402 nt
Filed under: Campylobacter jejuni
Lineage: Bacteria; Pseudomonadati; Campylobacterota; Epsilonproteobacteria; Campylobacterales; Campylobacteraceae
Description: bacterial SSU rRNA
Rfam family: Bacterial small subunit ribosomal RNA
Source: RNAcentral
GGCCGAGCACUCUAAAUAGACUGCCUUCGUAAGGAGGAGGAAGGUGUGGACGACGUCAAGUCAUCAUGGCCCUUAUGCCCAGGGCGACACACGUGCUACAAUGGCAUAUACAAUGAGACGCAAUACCGCGAGGUGGAGCAAAUCUAUAAAAUAUGUCCCAGUUCGGAUUGUUCUCUGCAACUCGAGAGCAUGAAGCCGGAAUCGCUAGUAAUCGUAGAUCAGCCAUGCUACGGUGAAUACGUUCCCGGGUCUUGUACUCACCGCCCGUCACACCAUGGGAGUUGAUUUCACUCGAAGCCGGAAUACUAAACUAGUUACCGUCCACAGUGGAAUCAGCGACUGGGGUGAAGUCGUAACAAGGUAACCGUAGGAGAACCUGCGGUUGGAUCACCUCCUUUCUAG